UACGAAGGGGGCUAGCGUUGCUCGGAAUCACUGGGCGUAAAGGGUGCGUAGGCGGGUCUUUAAGUCAGGGUGAAUCCUGGAGCUCAACUCCAGAACUGCCUUUGAUACUGAGGAUCGUUGAGUUCGGGAGAGGUGAGUGGAACUGCGAGUGUAGAGGUGAAAUUCGUAGAUAUUCGGAAGAACACCAGUGGCGAAGGCGGCUCACUGGCCCGGUACUGACGCUGAGGUGCGAAAGCGUGGGGAGCGAACAGG
Molecule: ribosomal RNA, 252 nt
Filed under: uncultured bacterium
Lineage: Bacteria
Description: partial 16S ribosomal RNA
Rfam family: Bacterial small subunit ribosomal RNA
Source: RNAcentral